UUGAAAGUAGAUCAGUCACAUUCAUACAGAAUUGCAGCUGAGUCUAGUCUAAAUAAGCCCUGCUUUGGAUUAGCUCUGGUGCCUCUGGUGACUCAAAACUUUCCACAGAAAAUGUAGCUGAGAAUAUAGAGAAAGUGAAUGGGCCACCUUAUUUAUUCUCAGAUAAUAUAAGACCAAAGAUAAUGAAAAUGGAAGGCAAUGCACUUAAACAUGGUAGAAGGAAGUAUUUUAAAGCAACACAUAACCUGAGGAAAUACAAAGAAUCAUUGAGACAGUUUGGUUAAAAUAUAAAAUAAUUUGUUUAUAUGAUUAAAGAGAAUCUAUGGUACUACUUUGGGUACGGUGUGAAAAUUAAGUGAACAGUCAUGUUUCAGGGCUUAAGCCAAUUAUUAAGACCACAAUCUGACAAAUCACUAAAGCACGUAAGAACAUGCCUGGUUUCAUUUAAGGUAAUGGAGCUAUUCAUGCUUGAAGCUUGUAUGCACGUAAGUGCUUUGCUGGCUCAGGAGCUAAUAGUUCAAUGGUAGAAAGAUAACACAACUGUGGGCAGCUUCUUUCAAAGAUGUCUAUUAUGUCUUUCUCAUACUUUCCCCUGAAAGAAAUAGCGUAAGUUACUGUCAAAGGCAGGAUCUUACAGUACAUGGACCACUGGUCUGAUGCAGUACAUAGUGCAUAUGUGUGGGCUCCCCCCCGUAACUAGUAAUUUUGGAAAGCUCAUUUCAUUUUUCUUUCUUCUGCCAUGCACAGAGGAAAAAAGAAUUAGGAACACCAUCUUCUACCUGAAUCUGUCUGAUCUCUCCAAAAGUAGAAGACAUGUAUCCAUUAGGAAAUUAGUGGCACAAUGAAGAGACAUCAUGAAUCUUGGAUCGAAGUGGUUGGUGACCUCCUCCAACACUUGUUAAAGUCAAUAGUGGGAUUUCAAUUGGUGCUUGGUGUCCUCUGUUUUCUGAUGUGCGCUUGUAAUUCUGUCAAGAGAUAUGAUGGUACUGAGUGUAAAUACAUAGAAUGAGACUUCAUAUUCAUUUUGAAGAGAACAAAUGAGGAAUGAAGCUCUCUAGUUGAGA
RNAcentral lists this long non-coding RNA (1064 nucleotides) under Struthio camelus australis. RNAcentral's name for it is "lncRNA (ENSSCUG00000011018.1)". The record is from RNAcentral. Lineage: Eukaryota; Metazoa; Chordata; Aves; Struthioniformes; Struthionidae.